UACGUAGGUGGCAAGCGUUAUCCGGAUUUAUUGGGCGUAAAGGGAACGCAGGCGGUCUUUUAAGUCUGAUGUGAAAGCCUUCGGCUUAACCGGAGUAGUGCAUUGGAAGCUGGGAGACUUGAGUGCAGAAGAGGAGAGUGGAACUCCAUGUGUAGCGGUGAAAUGCGUAGAUAUAUGGAAGAACACCAGUGGCGAAAGCGGCUCUCUGGUCUGUAACUGACGCUGAGAUUCGAAAGCGUGGGUAGCGAACAGG
Molecule: ribosomal RNA, 253 nt
Filed under: uncultured bacterium
Lineage: Bacteria
Description: partial 16S ribosomal RNA
Rfam family: Bacterial small subunit ribosomal RNA
Source: RNAcentral